Molecule: ribosomal RNA, 253 nt
Filed under: uncultured bacterium
Lineage: Bacteria
Description: partial 16S ribosomal RNA
Rfam family: Bacterial small subunit ribosomal RNA
Source: RNAcentral
UACGUAGGUGGCGAGCGUUAUCCGGAAUUAUUGGGCGUAAAGAGCGCGCAGGUGGUUGAUUAAGUCUGAUGUGAAAGCCCACGGCUUAACCGUGGAGGGUCAUUGGAAACUGGUUGACUUGAGUGCAGAAGAGGGAAGCGGAAUUCCAUGUGUAGCGGUGAAAUGCGUAGAGAUAUGGAGGAACACCAGUGGCGAAGGCGGCUUCCUGGUCUGUAACUGACACUGAGGCGCGAAAGCGUGGGGAGCAAACAGG